Long non-coding RNA from Bombyx mori (domestic silkworm), 1119 nucleotides. RefSeq lists it as uncharacterized. NCBI's taxonomy places the organism in Eukaryota, Metazoa, Arthropoda, Insecta, Lepidoptera, Bombycidae. The transcript has 2 exons. The record is from RefSeq and is a predicted model, not a curated record.
CCCGGUUUAUCUCUAUUAAUUUGUCCACCGCUUAUUGGUUUUUAUCAUAAACGUCCUGAACAACUAACAAGUAUUUAAGUAAUGGAAAAAAUCUAAUUCAGAAACAAUUAUUACGCUUAUCAAGCGUAAAUAGCAAAGUACAAUAUAUGUUUGAUGCGAUAAACGCAGGAAGCAAAACAUAUGAGCAGUAUUAUGAUUACAACAAGGACAAACGUGUCACCGUCAGUACCUGGUUACAAACGAUACGGUUAUUUAGUUUUCGCAUACUGUUUAUUCGUUUGCGGAUUCACAACAAUGAAGAUCCCGUUAAUCAUCACGCCACAAUUCCAGUGUUCCAAGGCCCCUGCAAGCCACCGUUGGAGUGUAUCUUGCGAUCUUUCGAAAAACGUAAAGUAACGAAUUCAUUUCAUAGUAAAUACGAGUUUGUUUCCAAAACUUCAGGAGUCCUCUGUAAACCACUAAAAAGAGAGUCUCACUCUUACGUCAUCAGCGCGUCAUUAGCGUCAUGUACUACAGCUCCCACACCCUCGCAGUUCAACAGAAGCUAUCUACAGCAGUCAAAUCACAGCAAACCAGCAUUGCAGCCUUAAAAUACAGUUCGUAGCAGACAUUGCUAACUUUCUCGUACUUACUAACACGACCAGAGGCGGCUUUACCUAUGGUGCAAGGUAUGCGUUGGUCAUGUUACUUUAACCUUUAGUAGAGGGUGCUAAGGUAAUGGUCACACAGUGGCUCUACGUGGGCUAGAGACGCCUUUGGGCACGACUUCCUAUCCCGGCGAAGAGUAAUGUAGCGCGGUACGAUCUUAGAAUAGAAUAAAUUUGCCAAAAACCGAACCUUCCAGAACAACUGCUUCUCUUUCGCCUCUUUACAUCUUUUUCAAUAUGUGUACUCAUGGACUCAUAGCUCAGUUCAUAUUAAAGGCUUGAAGGAUUGACCUUAGAGGAUUAACCCGAGAGGCGAGACAACUACAAUGUGGUCAUCCUGCAUACAAAACGCGCCAAUAUUUAUGAGUAGAAAGAGCAAGGUUCUAGCACUUAUGCGGACUCACCUAUGCAGGAAACGUCAAAAACGCAGAGCUUGGUUUUUUUCCGAGUACUGCACGAAUAAAUACAUAAA